UACAGAGGUCCCGAGCGUUGUUCGGAUUCAUUGGGCGUAAAGCGCACGUAGGCGGCCAGAUAAGUCCGCUGUGAAAUCUCGAGGCUCAACUUCGAGCUGUCGGUGGAAACUGUCUGGCUAGAGUCCGGAAGAGGAGAAUGGAAUUCCUGGUGUAGCGGUGAAAUGCGCAGAUAUCAGGAAGAACACCCGUGGCGAAGGCGGUUCUCUGGGACGGUACUGACGCUGAGACGCGAAAGCGUGGGGAGCGAACAGG
This 253-nucleotide ribosomal RNA is filed under the name uncultured bacterium. Its description in RNAcentral is "partial 16S ribosomal RNA". It matches the Rfam family "Bacterial small subunit ribosomal RNA", at positions 524 to 776 of the family's 1533-position model. The record is from RNAcentral.